Molecule: unclassified non-coding RNA, 321 nt
Filed under: Hevea brasiliensis (rubber tree)
Lineage: Eukaryota; Viridiplantae; Streptophyta; Magnoliopsida; Malpighiales; Euphorbiaceae
Source: RNAcentral
CUUGCAGUUAGAAGCAAAUGUGAGCAAUUAAACUUAGACUUCCAAAGCUGCGAGCUUUGCAUUAAUUAUUGGCUUGUCCAAAAAAAUAAGCCAACCCAAUUUUCAAUUAGUUCUCUUACCCACCGUUAAACCAAAAAACUGGAGUAAUCAGCUAAUUUUUUCGGUGCAACCAUGAUGCACGCCACAUGUUCGCAAAAUUGCAUAUGUGAAAAAAAGAAAUAAUUUAAACAAUAACUCACAGAGAGUUGACCAUCUGGCUCAAACUGGAAGUGGCGGGAGACAGAAUCGGAGCCUUCCAUCCAGUAUACAGGCACUUGAGGU